GGCCCGGUGGUUCAGUUGGUUAGAAUGCCGGCCUGUCACGCCGGAGGUCACGGGUUCAAGUCCCGUUCGGGUCGCCA
RNAcentral lists this transfer RNA (77 nucleotides) under Eubacteriales Family XIII. Incertae Sedis bacterium. RNAcentral describes it as "tRNA-Asp". It matches the Rfam family "tRNA". Rfam says of the family: Transfer RNA (tRNA) molecules are approximately 80 nucleotides in length. Their secondary structure includes four short double-helical elements and three loops (D, anti-codon, and T loops). Further hydrogen bonds mediate the characteristic L-shaped molecular structure. tRNAs have two regions of fundamental functional importance: the anti-codon, which is responsible for specific mRNA codon recognition, and the 3' end, to which the tRNAs corresponding amino acid is attached (by aminoacyl-tRNA synthetases). tRNAs cope with the degeneracy of the genetic code in two manners: having more than one tRNA (with a specific anti-codon) for a particular amino acid; and 'wobble' base-pairing, i.e. permitting non-standard base-pairing at the 3rd anti-codon position. Lineage: Bacteria; Bacillati; Bacillota; Clostridia; Peptostreptococcales; Anaerovoracaceae. The record is from RNAcentral.